GAUGAACGCUGGCGGCGUGCCUAACACAUGCAAGUCGAACGGAGUCCCGCCUUAGAGACCUUCGGGUCAAAGAGGGGAAGACUGAGUGGCGGACGGGUGAGUAACACGUGGGCAACCUGGCUCAUAGAGGGGGAUAACAGAGAGAAAUUUAUGCUAAUACCGCAUAAGCACACACUGCCGCAUGGCAGAGUGUGAAAAGAGAAUCGCUAUGAGAUGGACCCGCGUCUGAUUAGCCAGUUGGCAGGGUAAGAGCCUACCAAAGCGACGAUCAGUAGCCGAUUUGAGAGGAUGAACGGCCACAUUGGGACUGAGACACGGCCCAAACUCCUACGGGAGGCAGCAGUGGGGGAUAUUGCACAAUGGGGGGAACCCUGAUGCAGCGACGCCGCGUGAGUGAAGAAGUAUUUCGGUAUGUAAAGCUCUAUCAGCAGGGAAGAUAAUGACAGUACCUGAAUAAGAAGCCCCGGCUAACUACGUG
This 478-nucleotide ribosomal RNA is filed under the name uncultured bacterium. Its description in RNAcentral is "partial 16S ribosomal RNA". It matches the Rfam family "Bacterial small subunit ribosomal RNA", at positions 28 to 507 of the family's 1533-position model. The record is from RNAcentral.